GCUUAGCAUAUAUUAUUGAUGUUGCAGUUAAAACGUUCGUAGUCGACCUUUGUCUACUAAUGUGUGCAAGGUCUUCGAUCUUGUCUCACUGUCGGUAGAUAUUGUGUAGCUGCUAUACAUGUUUCAUGUGUUGUAUGCUAUACCUUACUUUGAGUGAAUCGGCGUGUUCCACGCAGGCAUUUGCCUUGAACGAUUUACCAUAGAAUAAAUAUAUUAUAGCAAUAUUUCUCCGUCUGUUCGGGAAUAUUGUUAUAAUGAUAAGAACGGUUGAGGGCAUUCAUAUUCAACUGCCAGAGGUGAAAUUCUUUGAUUAGUUGAGGAUGAACAAUGGCGAAAGCAUCUGCCAAGGACGUUUCUUUUUGAUCAAGAACGAAAGUUAGGUGAUCGAAGACGAUUAGAU
Molecule: ribosomal RNA, 400 nt
Filed under: uncultured eukaryote
Lineage: Eukaryota
Description: bacterial SSU rRNA
Rfam family: Eukaryotic small subunit ribosomal RNA
Source: RNAcentral